This 497-nucleotide ribosomal RNA is filed under the name uncultured bacterium. RNAcentral describes it as "partial 16S ribosomal RNA". It matches the Rfam family "Bacterial small subunit ribosomal RNA", at positions 28 to 507 of the family's 1533-position model. The record is from RNAcentral.
GAUGAACGCUGGCGGCGUGCCUAAUACAUGCAAGUCGAGCGAACGGACGAGAAGCUUGCUUCUCUGAUGUUAGCGGCGGACGGGUGAGUAACACGUGGAUAACCUACCUAUAAGACUGGGAUAACUUCGGGAAACCGGAGCUAAUACCGGAUAAUAUUUUGAACCGCAUGGUUAAAAAGUGAAAGACGGUCUUGCUGUCACUUAUAGAUGGAUCCGCGCUGCAUUAGCUAGUUGGUAAGGUAACGGCUUACCAAGGCAACGAUGCAUAGCCGACCUGAGAGCGUGAUCCGCCACACUAGAACUGAGACACGGUCCAGACUCCUACGGGAGGCCGCAGUAGGGAAUCCUCCGCAAUGCGCGAAAGCCUGACGGUGCAACGCCGCGUGAGUGAUGAAGGUCUUCGGAUCCUAAAACUCUGUUAUUAGGGAAGAACAUAUGUGUAAGUAACUGUGCACAUCUUGACGGUACCUAAUCAGAAAGCCACGGCUAACUACGUG